UGACAUCUGUUGAUAUAGGAACCGGGUGCCUUCUUUACGGGUCAUUGUUGGAUGACAUUGGCAUUGAUUUGCCAAAAGCGCCAACUAAUUUUGGUGAGAUUCUUGGGAAAUUGGCUGUGGCGAAGGUGUUGGACUUCAAGGUUGUGAUGCAAAUUCUCAAGAAGGUGGAAGAUGACAUGUUCCGGACAGCCAUCUUUGGGACUGCUAAGAAGAGCAUUGCGUCCAGCCCUUCCGGGCAGGAAUUUUUGCUUGCCCAGGAAACCGAGGUCCAGGCAUGUGAGAGUUUGCUUACCUGAUUUAUGCUAGUUUCAGUCGACGU
RNAcentral lists this long non-coding RNA (319 nucleotides) under Malus domestica (apple). Its description in RNAcentral is "long non-coding RNA (MDOM_LNC007289)". The record is from RNAcentral. Lineage: Eukaryota; Viridiplantae; Streptophyta; Magnoliopsida; Rosales; Rosaceae.